CACGUAGUUAGCCGUGACUUCCUCGCCGGGUACCAUCACUCAGAAAGCUUUCCACUCUUUCUGCCUUUUGUCCCCGGCAACAGAGCCUUACGAUCCGAAGACCUUCCCCGCUCACGCGGCAUUGCUCGUUCAGGGUUCCCCCAUUGACGAAAAUUCCCUACUGCUGCCUCCCGCAGGAGUCUGGGCCGUGUCUCAGUCCCAGUGUGGCCGUCCGCCCUCUCAGGCCGGCUAUGCAUCGUCGCCUUGGUGAGCCGUUACCUCUCCAACCAGCUAAUGCACCGCAGGUCCAUCUGCAUGCGGGACUCUUGUCCCCUUUCCAAAAAGAGAUGCCUCUCUUUGCUCAUCCGGUAUCAGCUUCCGUUUCCAGAAGUUCUCCCGCUCAUGCAGGCAGGUUCCCUACGUGUUACUCACCCGUUCGCCACUCAUAUCCGAAGAUAUCCGUUCGACUUGCAUGUAUUAGGCAUGCCGCAGCGUUCAUCCUGAGCCAGGAA
Molecule: ribosomal RNA, 491 nt
Filed under: uncultured Allobaculum sp.
Lineage: Bacteria; Bacillati; Bacillota; Erysipelotrichia; Erysipelotrichales; Erysipelotrichaceae
Description: partial 16S ribosomal RNA
Source: RNAcentral